AACGAACGCUGGCGGCAUGCCUAACACAUGCAAGUCGAACGAGACCUUCGGGUCUAGUGGCGCACGGGUGCGUAACGCGUGGGAACCUGCCCUUAGGUUCGGAAUAACUCCCCGAAAGGGGUGCUAAUACCGGAUAAUGUCUUCGGACCAAAGAUUUAUCGCCUUUGGAUGGGCCCGCGUUGGAUUAGCUAGUUGGUAGGGUAAAAGCCUACCAAGGCGACGAUCCAUAGCUGGUCUGAGAGGAUGAUCAGCCACACUGGGACUGAGACACGGCCCAGACUCCUACGGGAGGCAGCAGUGGGGAAUAUUGGACAAUGGGCGAAAGCCUGAUCCCGCCAUGCCGCGUGAGUGAUGAAGGCCUUAGGGUUGUAAAGCUCUUUUACCCGGGAUGAUAAUGACAGUACCGGGAGAAUAAGCUCCGGCUAACUCCG
RNAcentral lists this ribosomal RNA (431 nucleotides) under uncultured bacterium. RNAcentral's name for it is "partial 16S ribosomal RNA". It matches the Rfam family "Bacterial small subunit ribosomal RNA", at positions 29 to 505 of the family's 1533-position model. The record is from RNAcentral.